GGGGAAUAUUGGGCAAUGGACGCAAGUCUGACCCAGCGAUGCCGCGUGAAGGAUGGAAGGCCCUCGGGUUGUAAACUUCUUUAGACAGGGAAGAAAGAAAUGACAUUACCUGUAGAAUAAGCCACGGCUAACUACGUGCCAGCAGCCGCGGUAAUACGUAGGUGGCGAGCGUUAUCCGGAAUUACUGGGUGUAAAGGGCGCGUAGGCGGGUAUGCAAGUUGGAUGUGAAAUUCCGGGGCUUAACUCCGGAUUGUCAUCUAAAACUGUGUAUCUUGAGUGUCAGAGGGGAAAGUGGAAUUCCUAGUGGAGUGGUAAAAUGCGUAGAUAUUAGGAGGAACAUCGGUGGCGAAGGCGACUUUCUGGCUGACAACUGACGCUGAGGCGCGAAAGCGUGGGUAGCGAAC
This 404-nucleotide ribosomal RNA is filed under the name uncultured bacterium. RNAcentral describes it as "bacterial SSU rRNA". It matches the Rfam family "Bacterial small subunit ribosomal RNA", at positions 356 to 773 of the family's 1533-position model. The record is from RNAcentral.